This 489-nucleotide ribosomal RNA is filed under the name uncultured bacterium. RNAcentral's name for it is "partial 16S ribosomal RNA". It matches the Rfam family "Bacterial small subunit ribosomal RNA", at positions 28 to 507 of the family's 1533-position model. The record is from RNAcentral.
GACGAACGCUGGCGGCGUGCUUAACACAUGCAAGUCGAACGGAAAGGCCCCCACCUUGGUGGGGGUGCUCGAGUGGCGAACGGGUGAGUAACACGUGGGUGAUCUGCCCUGUACUUCGGGAUAAGCUUGGGAAACUGGGUCUAAUACCGGAUAGGACCAUGGUUUAGUGUCUCAUGGUGGAAAAAUUAUUGUUUUGGUGCAGGAUGAGCUCGCGGCCUAUCAGCUUGUUGGUGGGGUAAUGGCCUACCAAGGCGUCGACGGGUAGCCGGCCUGAGAGGGUGGACGGCCACAUUGGGACUGAGAUACGGCCCAGACUCCUACGGGAGGCAGCAGUGGGGAAUAUUGCACAAUGGGCGCAAGCCUGAUGCAGCGACACCGCGUGGGGGAUGACGGCCUUCGGGUUGUAAACUCCUUUCGUUAGGGACGAAGCCACACCUUUUUUGGGUGUGGUGACGGUACCUUUGUUAAGAAGCACCGGCUAACUACGUG